CGUCCGUCUGUCUGUCCGGCGUAAACAUGUCGCACCGUAACUUGAGAACGACUUAUCCAAAUUUCAUGAAACUUAACAUAGUUGUUUCUUAUGAUGGUCAAAUGAUCUGUAUCUUGUAUAUUUUGGUGAAAAUAAGAUUAAAACUUUUUGAGUUACGGCACUUUGUAACUAAAACAGGGGUGUGUUUUUUUCACAUGUCGCACCGUAUCUCAAAAACGAUUCUUAAUUAUGGCUUAAAACUUUAAACACUUCUUAGUUAUAUUAAUCUUAAUAUCUGUAUACUUUUUGGUGAUGAUUCAAAAUUUUAUUUUUGAGUUAUUGAGUAUUUUGUAAAAAAAGGGGGAGGGUUUUUU
RNAcentral lists this long non-coding RNA (353 nucleotides) under Mytilus galloprovincialis (Mediterranean mussel). Lineage: Eukaryota; Metazoa; Mollusca; Bivalvia; Mytilida; Mytilidae. The record is from RNAcentral.